GACGAACGCUGGCGGCGUGCUUAACACAUGCAAGUCGAACGGUAAGGCCCUUCGGGGUACACGAGUGGCGAACGGGUGAGUAACACGUGGGUGAUCUGCCCUGCACUUCGGGAUAAGCCUGGGAAACUGGGUCUAAUACCGGAUAGGACCACUGCCUGCAUGGGUGGUGGUGGAAAGCUUUUGCGGUGUGGGAUGGGCCCGCGGCCUAUCGGCUUGUGGGUGGGGUGAUGGCCUACCAAGGCGACGACGGGUAGCCGGCCUGAGAGGGUGACCGGCCACCCUGGGACUGAGAUACGGCCCAGACUCCUACGGGAGGCAGCAGUGGGGAAUAUUGCACAAUGGGCGCAAGCCUGAUGCAGCGACGCCGCGUGAGGGAUGACGGCCUUCGGGUUGUAAACCUCUUUCAGCACCGACGAAGCGCAAGUGACGGUAGGUGCAGAAGAAGGACCGGCCAACUACGUGCCAGCCGCCGCCGUAA
RNAcentral lists this ribosomal RNA (478 nucleotides) under uncultured bacterium. RNAcentral describes it as "partial 16S ribosomal RNA". It matches the Rfam family "Bacterial small subunit ribosomal RNA", at positions 28 to 523 of the family's 1533-position model. The record is from RNAcentral.